CGGAACACGUACACAACCUUCCUUUAAGUGGGGAAUAGCCCAGAGAAAUUUGGAUUAAUACCCCGUAACAUUAUGAUGUGGCAUCACAUUAUAAUUAAAGCUCAGGCGCUUAAUGAUGGGUGUGCGGCUGAUUAGAUAGUUGGCGGGGUAACGGCCCACCAAGUCUACGAUCAGUAACUGGUGUGAGAGCACGACCAGUCACACGGGCACUGAGACACGGGCCCG
RNAcentral lists this ribosomal RNA (225 nucleotides) under uncultured bacterium. Its description in RNAcentral is "partial 16S ribosomal RNA". It matches the Rfam family "Bacterial small subunit ribosomal RNA", at positions 109 to 334 of the family's 1533-position model. The record is from RNAcentral.